This 152-nucleotide small nucleolar RNA is filed under the name Octodon degus (degu). Lineage: Eukaryota; Metazoa; Chordata; Mammalia; Rodentia; Octodontidae. The record is from RNAcentral.
UGUGGGCACUGUUACAGCUUGAAGCUGAGUCCACUAACUGGCCAAUGACCUCAUCAGUAUAGUGCGCUUCAUGAAAGGACAGAUUAAGCCUCUAACACCCCAAGGGGCUCUGGGCCAAUGACAAGAAUGUGAUAUUAAUCUCUGCUACAGGG